This 17-nucleotide microRNA is filed under the name Homo sapiens (human). RNAcentral's name for it is "hsa-miR-1279". The record is from miRBase by way of RNAcentral. Lineage: Eukaryota; Metazoa; Chordata; Mammalia; Primates; Hominidae.
UCAUAUUGCUUCUUUCU